This 436-nucleotide ribosomal RNA is filed under the name uncultured bacterium. Its description in RNAcentral is "bacterial SSU rRNA". It matches the Rfam family "Bacterial small subunit ribosomal RNA", at positions 958 to 1398 of the family's 1533-position model. The record is from RNAcentral.
AACGCGAAGAACCUUACCUGGGCUUGAACUGCACUGGACAAACGUAGAAAUACGUCUCUCGCAAGAGCCGGUGUAGAGGUGCUGCAUGGCUGUCGUCAGCUCGUGCCGUGAGAUGUUGGGUUAAGUCCCGCAACGAGCGCAACCCCCAUCUUCAGUUGCCAGCGGUUCGGCCGGGCACUCUGAAGAAACUGCCGGUGACAAGCCGGAGGAAGGCGGGGAUGACGUCAAGUCCUCAUGGCCCUUAUGGGCUGGGCUACACACGUGCUACAAUGGCGGUGACAGAGGGAGGCAAGUCAGCGAUGGUGAGCCAAUCUCGAAAAGCCGUCUCAGUUCGGAUUGCUCUCUGCAACUCGAGAGCAUGAAGUCGGAAUCGCUAGUAAUCGCGGAUCAGCAUGCCGCGGUGAAUACGUUCCCGGGCCUUGUACACACCGGAGUA